AGCUACAGUUACUUUUGCACCA
This 22-nucleotide microRNA is filed under the name Homo sapiens (human). RNAcentral describes it as "hsa-miR-548v". Its record names the gene hsa-miR-548v. The record is from miRBase by way of RNAcentral. Lineage: Eukaryota; Metazoa; Chordata; Mammalia; Primates; Hominidae.